RNAcentral lists this transfer RNA (62 nucleotides) under pig gut metagenome. It matches the Rfam family "tRNA", at positions 7 to 64 of the family's 71-position model. From Rfam's summary of the family: Transfer RNA (tRNA) molecules are approximately 80 nucleotides in length. The record is from RNAcentral.
GAUAGCUCAAUUGGAUAGAGCAAUAGUCUUCUAAACUAUAGGUUAGAGGUUCGAUUCCUCUU